Molecule: ribosomal RNA, 350 nt
Filed under: Arthrobacter sp. TRP6:2-2
Lineage: Bacteria; Bacillati; Actinomycetota; Actinomycetes; Micrococcales; Micrococcaceae
Description: bacterial SSU rRNA
Rfam family: Bacterial small subunit ribosomal RNA
Source: RNAcentral
GCGGCGUGCUUAACACAUGCAAGUCGAACGAUGAUCCCAGCUUGCUGGGGGAUUAGUGGCGAACGGGUGAGUAACACGUGAGUAACCUGCCCUUGACUCUGGGAUAAGCCUGGGAAACUGGGUCUAAUACCGGAUACGACCAUCUGGCGCAUGUCAUGGUGGUGGAAAGCUUUUGUGGUUUUGGAUGGACUCGCGGCCUAUCAGCUUGUUGGUGGGGUAAUGGCCUACCAAGGCGACGACGGGUAGCCGGCCUGAGAGGGUGACCGGCCACACUGGGACUGAGACACGGCCCAGACUCCUACGGGAGGCAGCAGUGGGGAAUAUUGCACAAUGGGCGCAAGCCUGAUGCA